Molecule: ribosomal RNA, 937 nt
Filed under: uncultured Bacillus sp.
Lineage: Bacteria; Bacillati; Bacillota; Bacilli; Caryophanales; Bacillaceae
Description: bacterial SSU rRNA
Rfam family: Bacterial small subunit ribosomal RNA
Source: RNAcentral
ACAUGCAAGUCGAGCGAAUGGAUUAAGAGCUUGCUCUUAUGAAGUUAGCGGCGGACGGGUGAGUAACACGUGGGUAACCUGCCCAUAAGACUGGGAUAACUCCGGGAAACCGGGGCUAAUACCGGAUAACAUUUUGAACCGCAUGGUUCGAAAUUGAAAGGCGGCUUCGGCUGUCACUUAUGGAUGGACCCGCGUCGCAUUAGCUAGUUGGUGAGGUAACGGCUCACCAAGGCAACGAUGCGUAGCCGACCUGAGAGGGUGAUCGGCCACACUGGGACUGAGACACGGCCCAGACUCCUACGGGAGGCAGCAGUAGGGAAUCUUCCGCAAUGGACGAAAGUCUGACGGAGCAACGCCGCGUGAGUGAUGAAGGCUUUCGGGUCGUAAAACUCUGUUGUUAGGGAAGAACAAGUGCUAGUUGAAUAAGCUGGCACCUUGACGGUACCUAACCAGAAAGCCACGGCUAACUACGUGCCAGCAGCCGCGGUAAUACGUAGGUGGCAAGCGUUAUCCGGAAUUAUUGGGCGUAAAGCGCGCGCAGGUGGUUUCUUAAGUCUGAUGUGAAAGCCCACGGCUCAACCGUGGAGGGUCAUUGGAAACUGGGAGACUUGAGUGCAGAAGAGGAGAGUGGAAUUCCAUGUGUAGCGGUGAAAUGCGUAGAGAUAUGGAGGAACACCAGUGGCGAAAGCGACUUUCUGGUCUGUAACUGACACUGAGCGCGAAAGCGUGGGGAGCAAACAGAUUAGAUACCCUGGUAGUCCACGCCGUAAACGAUGAGUGCUAAGUGUUAGAGGGUUUCCGCCCUUUAGUGCUGAAGUUAACGCAUAAGCACUCCGCCUGGGGAGUACGGCCGCAGCUGAAACUCAAGAAUUGACGGGGGCCCGCACAGCGUGAGCAUGUGUUUAAUUCGAAGCAACGCGAGAACCUUACCAGUCUG